This 877-nucleotide ribosomal RNA is filed under the name uncultured soil bacterium. Its description in RNAcentral is "bacterial SSU rRNA". It matches the Rfam family "Bacterial small subunit ribosomal RNA", at positions 634 to 1501 of the family's 1533-position model. The record is from RNAcentral.
CUGGCAGCUAGAGGGUGAGAGAGAGAAGUGGAAUUCCCGGAGUAGCGGUAAAUGCGUGGAUCUCGGGAGGAACACCAAUGGCGAAGGCAGCUUCUUGGCUCAUCCUGACGUUGAGGCACGAAAGCGUGGGAGCAAACAGGAUUAGAUACCUGGUAGUCCACGCCGUAAACGAUAAUCACUAGAUGUUGGUUCGGCUUAGCUGGAUCAGUGUCGUAGCUAACGCGUUAAGUGAUUCGCCUGGGGAGUAUGGUCGCAAGGCUAAAACUUAAAAGAAUUGACGGGGGUCCGCACAAGCGGUGGAACAUGUGGCUUAAUUCGACACUACGCGAGAAACCUUACCUGGGCUUGACAUGUACUCGACAGCUGUAGAAAUAUGGUUUUUUGGGUUUCGAUUCAAACGGGUACACAGGUGCUGCAUGGCUGUCGUCAGCUCGUGUCGUGAGAUGUUUGGUUAAGUCCUCUAACGAGCGCAACCCCUGCUACCAGUUGCUACUAAUCUUCGGAUUAAGCACUUUGGUGGGACUGCCCGGGAAACCGGGAGGAAGGUGGGGAUGACGUCAAGUCAUCAUGGUCCUUAUGUCCAGGGCUACACACGUGUUACAAUGGCUAAUACAGAGGGAAGCAAGACCGUAAGGUGUAGCAAACCCCAUAAAGUUAGUCUAAGUUCGGAUUGAGGUCUGCAAUUCGACCUCAUGAAGUUGAAAUCGCUAGUAAUCGCGCAUCAUAACGGCGCGGUGAAUACGUUCUCGGACCUUGUACACACCGCCCGUCACACCAUGAGAGCUGUUUGUACCCAAAGUCAUCUUAGCCAACCUGAAAAGGGGGCGGAUGCCUAAGGUAUGUAUGGUGAUUGGGGUGAAGUCGUAACAAGGUAACC